CCUACGGGUGGCAGCAGUGAGGAAUAUUGGUCAAUGGACGAGAGUCUGAACCAGCCAAGUAGCGUGAAGGAUGACUGCCCUAUGGGUUGUAAACUUCUUUUAUAUGGGAAUAAAAUGUUCCACGUGUGGGAUUUUGUAUGUACCAUAUGAAUAAGGAUCGGCUAACUCCGUGCCAGCAGCCGCGGUAAUACGGAGGAUCCGAGCGUUAUCCGGAUUUAUUGGGUUUAAAGGGAGCGUAGGUGGAUUGUUAAGUCAGUUGUGAAAGUUUGCGGCUCAACCGUAAAAUUGCAGUUGAAACUGGCAGUCUUGAGUACAGUAGAGGUGGGCGGAACUCGUGGUGUAGCGGUGAAAUGCUUAGAUAUCACGAAGAACUCCGAUUGCGAAGGCAGUUCACUGGACUGCAACUGACACUGAGGCUCGAAAGUGUGGGUAUCAAACAGGAUUAGAUACCCUUGUAGUC
Molecule: ribosomal RNA, 460 nt
Filed under: uncultured bacterium
Lineage: Bacteria
Description: partial 16S ribosomal RNA
Rfam family: Bacterial small subunit ribosomal RNA
Source: RNAcentral